AGCCCGACGUGGGGCUCGAACUCACCAGCCAGGAGAUCAUGACCUGAGCCGAAGUCCGUCGCCUAACCGACUGAGCCACCCAGGCACCCCACGGCCAAUCGUUAUUAAUGGGGGAAAGGGAUCAGGAAUAAGUAAGUAAACAUGUCAGGGCUAGCACUGAGAAGCCAAAUCUAGCAGCGUAAGGGGACGGGGCGUGACCCAGGGGAGAGGUCAGGGCAUUGGUAGCAUUCAGCUCCGCGCUACCCCGGGGGCUCCUAGAGGAUUCUGGGCAAGAGAAGCCCAGCCAUGCUGUGCCAGCCCCGGGGCGGGGGGCAGGGGGGAGCUGGGUUUCCAAGUCUGUGCACUUACUUGGUUUUAUUCGGUCAUGGAUGUCCCAGCUUGUUUUACCAGCCAACCCGUUCUGUAGACCCAGGAGCCACCACGGGCUGGCCACAGCAGGCUGUCAGUCACAUCUGCUCAGCACGGAGGAGGCUCUCACCACAUCACAGGGAGCUGUGUGGCUUCCAGCUCGGGGUGAGGGUGGGGGGAGCCCAUCCCCUUCUGGGUCCCCUUCGUGGGGCCUUGGGGACAGUCAGCACCCAGGCCAGAGGCAACAGACGCCUCCCCAGCUACACACCCCAGGCCUGAGGGUUUGGGGUUUGGAAGGAGGCCUGGGUCACAGUGACCACUUCUGUCCCUGUGGCUCAAGCCACUGCUUCAGGCCCGGGGUGGGAGAGUGUCCAGGAAGCGUGUGGCCCUCCUUCGGCUGUCGGGAGACCAGGCAGUGGCUCCUGGGCUCAUGCAGAGUCUCAUCCGGGGUUGGUGCACAGCACAACCAGGGACCCGGAGCCUCCUCACCAUGGCUGCUAAGUGUAGGCAGGUCCUGACCUCCGUCCUGCCUGCCCUCCUGCUGGGACUCACAGGUAAGUCCUGGGUGCUGCCCCGAGACACCCUCAGACCUGGCAGGGAAGCCCUCGGGGAUUACUACAUGCAGCUGCCUUGGGUUGCAGGGGUCUGGGGCCCACAGGACCUAGAAGGGCCCUUUGCCUACCUGCCAGGGCGUGUCCUGUCUUCACCUGUGAGAAACAAAGGUGAUGGGGGGUUGGGGCCAGGAGGCCACAAGGACGACAGACUGGGGGAGGGCAGGGGGUGAAGGGGGAGCCCACCUCCCACCCGGUCUCCCUGAUGUCAGCUCUGGUCCGAGUGGCUAACACAUCUAGGUCAGAGAGGGUGUGAGGGUGGGAGGGACAGAAAGGGAGACCCCCCCCCCGCCGAGUGAUGGCGCCUCUGGCCUUGAAAGAAGAUUGCAGGGUUCUCAGUCAGACUGCUUAACCUCCCUCCUUAGCGUCCCCCCCCCACCCCCGCAGGCUGUGUGACCUCGUACAAGUCACUAAACCUCUCUGUGGCUGUCUCCUCUUCUGGAAAGCGGGGACAACAAUACCAGCCUCCCGCAGUGGGAUGCGGAUGAGAAUAAACACACACUUGGAAACGUUCUAUGAGCCACAGGGUGCCCCGUGCAGUGGGGUGACGAUGAUCAGGAGGGACUACUGAGAAGAGAGCAUGAUGCAGAAGGUUCCAGAGCUGGGUGCUGAGAGGAUAUGCUCCACAGCCACCCGAGCUGCCCUCUGUCACCCAGAACCCUGCAUUGUCAGUGCUGGUUUAUCUGUCCUCCCCACACCCACACACCUGACCAGAUGCUCCUCCAGCGCCAGGGUCCUGUCUGACACCUCUCUGUGUCCCCAGGACCCAGCUCACAGACCAGCUCAGCGCAGCGGCGCGGGGGGGGAGGCUGGGGGCAGUGAAGACUUGCAGAAGUCACCGCUGUCACGCCCCUGCAGGCUGUCAUGAGGGGAAGGGGAGCCCAGUCCUGCAGGUGCCCUGGGAUGACUCUAGGGCACAGAUUGGAGGCUAGAAGAGGAAGGGGAAUGCUGCCUCAGGUGGAGAGAAUGCCGCGUCCCUGGAGCUGAGCAAGCAGAGAUGUGGACGGGAAGGACCAGAUUAGGAGGGUCGGCCAUCCCUGCCCGCAGUGGCUCUCGAUGUCACACUGGUGUCCAAAAGGGAGAUCUUUGUGUCCUCGCCACACCUCUCCCCGAACCUAGAACCGUCCGCCUGGAUGCCCGACAGAAAAGCCUGGGACACAUUUCCCCAUAGCCCGCUGUGUCCAGUCUGUGACCGAGUCCUGCUGGCUGUUUCUGCCGAACGGGUCUCAGGUCCCCCCCAUCGCUCACUGGCCUGGCCCAGGCAGUCCUGGGUCCCCUCCUCACUGCUGUCGCUGCUCCCAUCCUGCCACCUGCUUUCCAUCCUCUACACGGCGACCACAGUAUCCUUUUAAACCACGUCGGCGAGGCCACCUGGUCCUGUGUUCACGGUCUCCAGUGGCUUCCGGUCUCACUCAGAAUAGAGUCAGCAGCAUUACCUUGAACCACAGGCUUUUCCCCAUCUGGACCUCUUUGCCCAUGAUGCUGGAGUCCUACAGAUCUCUCAGCCUCUCAAGCCGGGCGGCCCUUCAUCUCUCUGACGGGCCCAUCUCGGAGGACGACCCCGGGAAACCCGGUGCCUUUUAACUGUACCGCCGGCCCCUUCAACUCCUGGGAUUUCAAUGUCACCUGGAUGAAGGGCAGCGAUGAGCAUCCAGCCUCAGCCCAGCACCUGGUGACCCACAACCAAGGCCACUACUUCGUUACCAGUAAGGUGCGGGUGACACUGACCCUCCAGGAUCUCUUACUGGAGAUCACCUGCGAAGUCACCCACAGGGCGCUGGGAGAGCCUCUGCGAAAGACCAUGACCCUCUCCCAAGUGCUCCAAGUUGUCCCCACCCUGAAGAUCACCACCAAGACCUCCGGGACGUACAUCCACGUGCAACAGAGAGUGAAUCUCAUCUGCCACGCGAGCCACUUCUACCCCUCCCACCUACGUCUCACCUGGAUGGAGAACAGACACCAGGUCCACACGGUGGAGUCCCCACAGGUCACGAGAAACCCAGAUGGCACCUACUCUCUGAAGCACACGUGGCAGGCGGAGGCCACGCUGGACGGGAGCGAGUUUGCUUGCUGGGUGGUCCAGGAUGAGCAGCCACCCGUCCGGGCCAACAUCACCCUGCGGGCCCAGGCACCCAGGCUGGGGAAAGGCCGGAGCACCUACUCCUACUCCUUGCAAGGCCCCCUUCAGCGAUCCGAGCCGGGGAAGAGCAUCCAGCUGACCUACGUGUCCUCCGGAUUCCCGUCGCGCCACAUUACCGUGACCUGGUUUAAAAAGAACCACGAGCUCCCAAAGACGCAGAACUACGUCCACCCCAGUGGGGACACACACAAUGUGACCAGCCGAGUGCUCGUCCCGCUGCAAGUGGAUGAUGUGCUCUCCUUCGUCCGAUGCCACGUCAGUCGUAAAUCCACACUGGUCUUCCAGAAAGCCAUCAACCUGGACCAGUACCUCCGUGUUCCCUCUACAGUGACAGUGUCCCAGUCUUCACGCUCCUCGGACUUGGUGGCUGUCACCUGCCGCGUGCAGAGAUUCUAUCCACAGAGUGUGCAUCUCACCUGGACGGAGAACUGCCAUACGAUCAAGGGAGCUGAGCAAUGCACAUCCAAGCAGAAUAGUGAUGGGACCUACACCCUGGAAAGCUUGCAUUUGGUGAACGUGUCAGGGCCGGGGUCCGAACACGUGCUCACCUGUAAGGUGCAGCACGAGACCCAACCUCCCAUCCAGGCCAGCCUCAUACUGUCUGCGGAAGCACACGGCACAUACAAGCCCAUCGGAAGCUCAGGUCCCGAGAUGCCUGUCCUCAUCUUUGUGGCAUUCCUUCUGGGCUUCAAGGUGCUGCUGGCGAUGAGUUUCAUAGUCACCUACAUCUGCAGGUGGCGGAGCUGGUAACAGGCUGAAAUGUCAGAGAGAAGUGAUUGCCAUCCGGACCUGACGGUCCACAAGCAUAAAGCAUUUACUGUCCGGCCAUCUAAGACAAAGCUCGCCAACGCCUGAGAGACAAUAUUUAAAGACAAACAAUCCCAUUUUGUAAGUGCAUGAAAGAUUUGA
This is a non-coding RNA of Leopardus geoffroyi (Geoffroy's cat), 4008 nucleotides long. NCBI's taxonomy places the organism in Eukaryota, Metazoa, Chordata, Mammalia, Carnivora, Felidae. The record is from the annotation of a RefSeq genome assembly.